RNAcentral lists this long non-coding RNA (1611 nucleotides) under Homo sapiens (human). Its description in RNAcentral is "HSALNT0333283". The record is from RNAcentral. Lineage: Eukaryota; Metazoa; Chordata; Mammalia; Primates; Hominidae.
CCAAAUUCCUUUUCAGAAAACUUCUGUUCACAAAUCUAAAUUUAAAAGUCAAUGUACAGAGAGAAAAACAAAAAACAAAUUUAGUCAAAUUUCCAAGCCCCUUGAUUACUGGAGUAGUUUUAUGAGUGAAUAGAGAAGGCAGCGACCCGCAGGUUUGAUUUCAGGGGCUCUGGGAAGCACUCUCCAUUACCCAACCCUGCCCCAAGGUUUUCUUGCUUCCAAAAACAAAAUCACUAAAAACAUCAUCAGUAGGGGAAGAAAAAAAAAUUGUUCCUUAACUAGCCAAGCCACGUUAAGACUCGUUAAUUUGCACUGUCCAAUGGGGUAAAUGACUGACACCAAAUCUAUUAUUGAUAGCAGGUUUAAAAUAGGAGGAAGGAGGAAAGAGCAACAGAAAUUGGGAGCCAGAUGGCAGAGCAGGAAAAAUAAACACCAGAGUAGGCCUGGUAUUCAGAGAGAUAUCAGGAGCUGAAAGUCUGGGACCAGAAGAUAAACUUGAUCAACUUCACUCUUCUGUGGAGAGUGGCCUGAAUGAUUAGACUCUGAGGCCACAAUGUAACUCGACCUUGUCAAUAGGUUCUCUUGUAGUUCUCUGCCAGUACCAGGCAAGUAUAGAUGUGGCCCAAGGAAAUGUGGCUCAGAGGUCCUGAAAACAGCAGGCUGCAUUCUGAGACCCCCUGGUGGGAGUUCAUUUGUUGUACAGUGCAAUGUGGGGAUGUUUGCUUUUCAGCAUCUUCAGUGACUUGUUGGUAAAACUUUUCUCCACUAAACGGCCCCAGGAUCCUUUUGGCAAAUCCCAUUAUUAGAAAAUACUCAAGUGGUAGUCAUUUACACAUUAGUGUGAAUUAAUUUGCCAAUGUAUUUACCUCAUUCAAACUAUUCUAAGUUUGUUUUUGUUUUGUUUUGUUUUGUUUUCUAAUUGAAGAAUAAUGGACUUUGUUUCCCACCAUAGUAAUUAUUUCCUUCAAAGUCAUCAUGACUCCAACACUGGACCAUAUUCUGACCACUAGAGGAACUGAAUUAGAGUUUCACUGAUGACAACUCCAUGCUGUUUGGGAUCAGCCAGACUUGACAAAACAUGCUGACACACCAAUCACGUGUCACAACACCAGACUCACAGACAACAUUUUCAUGGACACUGAGCCACUUCUGCUUUUAUCCUGUCCUCCUCCACUUCUAGCCUUCAGACACUUGGUGCCUCCCUGAGGAUACACCAACACUUCAAGAACACAGAGUGCACCUGGAGUCGGCUGAGUAGUCCUGUGUCCUGAAAUAACUGCUCGACGUUCCCAGAGCCAGUAAAUGGGAUUUGGGACAUUUUUGUCAUGAAGUCACAAUGUGGGACUAUAAAUGUCUUGCCUUUAAGGGUAGGGUCUUCCCAUGACCCAUCCAUAACAUUUGUGAAAAUGUUGUGUGUUGUGCGUUUUGGAGAGAAGAAUUUUCAUUAUCUUCACAAAGGGAUCUGUUACCCUAAAAGAUUUAGAAUCACUCAGCUUAUUGGUAAGAUGUGCCUAUUCUUUUAGACUCCAGGUGAGGCUUGAUCUCCAGUCUCAAAAGGAAAUAUAUGAUGUCAUCAGACCCCUAGUAAGGUAUUUCUGAAUGUAUGAUAUC